This 371-nucleotide long non-coding RNA is filed under the name Mytilus galloprovincialis (Mediterranean mussel). The record is from RNAcentral. Lineage: Eukaryota; Metazoa; Mollusca; Bivalvia; Mytilida; Mytilidae.
CGUCACAUACAAUAUGAAAACUUGACGUUCGUGACGUUACAUACCAAUUAAUGACGUCAUUCUAAAAAUUGACCUAUUUUGAGGAAAUUUUUUCUUAAGCAAAAAAAAACCCCAAAAAACUGACUUUAUGUAAAAAAAAAAAAAAAAAAAAAAAAAAAAGGUAUGCGAUACGGGGUAUGCGAUACGGGUUUAGCUAUGCGAUACGGGGUAUGUGAUACAGGGAAGGGGAUACAGACUGGAAAAACGCACCUUUAUUAGAUAUACAAAAUAGCUGUAUUUUGUACUAAAUAUAUGAUAAAUAUAUAUAUAUGUAUAGCGUCCCGAAUCGAAAACGUUCAAAACGUAAGAAAAUUGUUCAGUGGACAAACUUG